RNAcentral lists this unclassified non-coding RNA (520 nucleotides) under uncultured Glomus. Its description in RNAcentral is "SSU rRNA". It matches the Rfam family "Eukaryotic small subunit ribosomal RNA", at positions 569 to 1093 of the family's 1831-position model. Lineage: Eukaryota; Fungi; Glomeromycota; Glomeromycetes; Glomerales; Glomeraceae. The record is from RNAcentral.
AGCAGCCGCGGUAAUUCCAGCUCCAAUAGCGUAUAUUAAAGUUGCUGCAGUUAAAAAGCUCGUAGUUGAAUUUCGGGACCAUCAUGUCGGUCGUGCCUCGGUACGUACUGGCAUUGUUGGUUUCUACCUUCUGACGAACCAUGAUGUCAUUUAUUUGGUGUCGUGGGAAAUCAGGACUGUUACUUUGAAAAAUUGAGUGUUUAAAGCCGGCCCACGCUUGAAUACAUUAGCAUGGAAUAAUGAAAUAGGACGUUUGAUUCUAUUUUGUUGGUUUCUAGGAUCGACGUAAUGAUUAAUAGGGAUAGUUGGGGGCAUUAGUAUUCAAUUGUCAGAGGUGAAAUUCUUGGAUUUAUUGAAGACUAACUACUGCGAAAGCAUUUGCCAAGGAUGUUUUCAUUAAUCAAGAACGAAAGUUAGGGGAUCGAAGACGAUCAGAUACCGUCGUAGUCUUAACCAUAAACUAUGCCGACUAGGGAUCGGACGAUGUUAAUUUUUUAAUGACUCAUUCGGCGCCUUACGG